AGAUUGAACGCUGGCGGCAUGCCUUACACAUGCAAGUCGAACGGCAGCACGGGAGCAAUCCUGGUGGCGAGUGGCGAACGGGUGAGUAAUACAUCGGAACGUGCCCAAUCGUGGGGGAUAACGCAGCGAAAGCUGUGCUAAUACCGCGUAAAGAUCUACGGAUGAAAGCAGGGGAUCGCAAGACCUUGCGCGAAUGGAGCGGCCGAUGGCAGAUUAGGUAGUUGGUGAGGUAAAGGCUCACCAAGCCUUCGAUCUGUAGCUGGUCUGAGAGGACGACCAGCCACACUGGGACUGAGACACGCCCAGACUCCUACGGAGCAGCAGUGGGGAAUUUUGGACAAGUGGGCGAAAGCCUGAUCCAGCCCAUCGCCGCGU
Molecule: ribosomal RNA, 375 nt
Filed under: uncultured soil bacterium
Lineage: Bacteria
Description: bacterial SSU rRNA
Rfam family: Bacterial small subunit ribosomal RNA
Source: RNAcentral